UGUUGAGUUUGAUUCGUGGCUCAGGACGAACGGUGGCGGCGUGCCUAAUACGAUGCGAAGUCGAACGCUUUUUCUUUCACCGGAGCUUGCUCCACCGAAAGAAAAAGAGUGGCGAACGGGUGAGUAACACGUGGGUAACCUGCCCAUCAGAAGGGGAUAACACUUGGAAACAGGUGCUAAUACCGUAUAACACUAUUUUCCGCAUGGAAGAAAGUUGAAAGGCGCUUUUGCGUCACUGAUGGAUGGACCCGCGGUGCAUUAGCUAGUUGGUGAGGUAACGGCUCACCAAGGCAACGAUGCAUAGCCGACCUGAGAGGGUGAUCGGCCACACUGGGACUGAGACACGGCCCAGACUCCUACGGGAGGCAGCAGUAGGGAAUCUUCGGCAAUGGACGAAAGUCUGACCGAGCAACGCCGCGUGAGUGAAGAAGGUUUUCGGAUCGUAAAACUCUGUUGUUAGAGAAGAACAAGGAUGAGAGUAAAAUGUUCAUCCCUUGACGGUAUCUAACCAGAAAGCCACGGCUAACUACGUGCCAGCCGCCGCCGUAACACAAA
Molecule: ribosomal RNA, 555 nt
Filed under: Enterococcus casseliflavus
Lineage: Bacteria; Bacillati; Bacillota; Bacilli; Lactobacillales; Enterococcaceae
Description: bacterial SSU rRNA
Rfam family: Bacterial small subunit ribosomal RNA
Source: RNAcentral